CCUACGGGAGGCAGCAGUGGGGAAUAUUGGGCAAUGGGCGCAAGCCUGACCCAGCAAUGCCGCGUGCAGGAAGAAGGCCCUCGGGUUGUAAACUUCUUUUAUCAGGGACGAAGGAUGUGACGGUACCUGAUGAAUAAGCUCAGGCUAACUACGUGCCAGCAGCCGCGGUAAUAAGUAGGGCGCAAGCGUUAUCCGGAUUUACUGGGAGUAAAGGGCGCGUAGGUGGGAUGGCAAGUUAGCUGUGAAAUCCAGGGGAUCAACCCCUGAACUGCAUUUGAGACUGUCGUUCUUGAGUACGGGAGAGGUUGACGGAAUGCCAAGUGAAGCGGUGAAAUGCGUAGAUAUUAGGAGGAACACCAGUGGCGAAGGCAGUCAACUGGACCGCAACUGACGCUGAGGCGCGAAAGCGUGGGGAGCAAACAGGAUUAGAUACCCGUGUAGUC
RNAcentral lists this ribosomal RNA (443 nucleotides) under uncultured bacterium. RNAcentral's name for it is "partial 16S ribosomal RNA". It matches the Rfam family "Bacterial small subunit ribosomal RNA", at positions 338 to 795 of the family's 1533-position model. The record is from RNAcentral.